CAAGCUUGCUGAUGAUGUUCAGGCGCACAUCGGGAAACUCAUCCUUCAGAAGGGAAAGAAAUAUUGGAAGAAGAUGUUCAAUGGUUGCAUCCUUUCCCAAAACAGGAGCCAUCCCCAUUAUAACGGAAGCCAAAGCAGAUCUGACAUGUUGUGAAGAGUCUGAUGAUAAUUCCUUCACACAGGGAAGAAUAUGCUGAAUCGCAAGCUCGGGACUAAGAAUUCUGCAGAAUUUGGUUACUUUUCCUGCAGCAGCUAUGCGAACUUCAGCUUCAUUAUCUCGAAGCAAACGGACAUAGGCAGGCACCAAAUCCGUCCUAGUGGGCUCUGGCCCAACAGCUUCACAUAGUUCGUACAGCUGGUUAGCAACCAUGUAUCGAACGCGCCAAGACUUGUCCUGAGAGAAG
This 404-nucleotide unclassified non-coding RNA is filed under the name Hevea brasiliensis (rubber tree). The record is from RNAcentral. Lineage: Eukaryota; Viridiplantae; Streptophyta; Magnoliopsida; Malpighiales; Euphorbiaceae.